AUUGAACGCUGGCGGAAUGCUUUACACAUGCAAGUCGAACGGCAGCACGGGGGCAGCCCUGGUGGCGAGUGGCGAACGGGUGAGUAAUACAUCGGAACGUGCCCGGUCGUGGGGGAUAACGUAGCGAAAGUUACGCUAAUACCGCAUACGAUCUGAGGAUGAAAGCGGGGGACCUUCGGGCCUCGCGCGAUCGGAGCGACUGAUGUCAGAUUAGGUAGUUGGUGGGGUAACGGCCUACCAAGCCGACGAUCUGUAGCUCGUCUGAGAGGACGACCAGCCACACUGGAACUGAGACACGGCCCAGACUCCCACGGGAGGCAGCAGUGGGGAAUUUUGGACAAUGGGCGCAAGCCUGAUGCAGCCAUUCCGCGUGCAGGACGAAGGCCUUCGGGUUGUAAACUGCUUUUGUACGGAACGAAAAGGCUCUGGCUAAUACCUGGGGCUCAUGACGGUACCGUAAGAGUAAGCACCGGCUAACUACGUG
Molecule: ribosomal RNA, 484 nt
Filed under: uncultured bacterium
Lineage: Bacteria
Description: partial 16S ribosomal RNA
Rfam family: Bacterial small subunit ribosomal RNA
Source: RNAcentral